Trichosurus vulpecula (common brushtail) is the source of this 1888-nucleotide non-coding RNA. The record is from the annotation of a RefSeq genome assembly. NCBI's taxonomy places the organism in Eukaryota, Metazoa, Chordata, Mammalia, Diprotodontia, Phalangeridae.
AGCAUUGGUUAUAGAAUGGGAUCAGAUUUUGAAUGGCAAGAUGCUCAGCUGUACCUUCCAGUAACUGGUCACCUACUAGCUACCCAAGCUGCACCAAAUCUCUUCUCCCUCUCCUCCUGUUGGAGUUCUCAAAUGAAAGAUGCCCCUGUGGCUGUGGGUUGUUUGGCUAAGGAUUUUCUACCUGAUUCCAUUGAUUUCUCCUGGAGCUACCAAAACCGAAGUGCCGUGAGUAACACAGAUUUAAAGAUCUUCCCAUCCCUUAUGAGAGGCAGCACAUACACAGCCACCUCACAAGUGAUCCUCCAUGCCAAUGAUGCCUUCCAAGGAGAAGAUAGCUACUUGGUAUGUAAGACCCGUCAUCCCAGAGGCGACAAAGAAGUUCAAGUUCCACUUCGAGAUCACAUCAUCAAUUCCCCUAAUGUGACUGUGUAUAUCCCGCCCAGUGAUGCAUUCUCCAGCUCUAGCCCAAGAACAUCCAAGCUCAUCUGUCAAGCCACCAACUUCAGGCCGAAUAAGAUCAAGUUAACAUGGCUUCAAGAGGGCAGGCCAGUUCUGUCAGGUAUCUCUACAGGUCAAGUCCUACCUGAUGGCUCUGGGACCUAUCUCCUACAAAGCAGCCUGACUAUCAAUGAGAAUGACUGGCUCAGCCAAAAUACAUUCACCUGUCGUGUAGAACACGAAGGGGCCCAAUUCCAGAAGAAUGUUUCCUCAACCUGUUUCAGUGAGGGCCCAGAAUUACCCAGUGAAGCCUUUGCCAUCGCCCCCACCUUUGCAAGCAUCUUUGUUACCAAAUCUGCCAAAUUAACCUGUCUAGUCACAAACCUUCCCACUGCUCAAAAUCCAAAUAUUACCUGGACCCGUGCAAAUGGACAGCCUCUGGAAACUACCAUUAAGCUGUCCCUCAGCCACCUCAAUGGCACCUUUAGUGCUGAGGGAGAAGCCACAGUCUGUGCAGAGGACUGGAAUGCAGGGGAAAUAUUCAAAUGCACCGUGAUUCAUCCUAACCAUCCUGUUCCUCUGAAGAAAGAAAUCUUUAAGCAACAGGGGGCUGUCAUGCACGCACCAGCUGUCUAUCUGUUGCCUCCAGCUCCUGAGGAGCUAACCCUGAGGGAAGCAGCUACCUUAACCUGCCUGAUGAGGGACUUUUCCCCAGCAGAUGUGUUUGUCCAGUGGCGGCACAAAGGACAGCCUAUACCCUCAGAGAAAUAUGUCACCAGCAGCCCCCAGCAGGAGCCCCAGAAAGCUGGUCUCUACUUCUCUCACAGCACCCUGACAGUGUCUGAAGAGAACUGGAAUGCAGGGGAUUCCUAUACCUGUGUGGUGGUUCAUGAAGCACUGCCCUUGUCAGUGACCGAGAAGACCGUGGACAAGUCCACUGAAGGGGAAGUUAAUGCUGAAGAAGAGGGAUUUGAGAACCUGUGGACAACAGCCUCUACAUUCAUUGUCCUCUUCCUGCUGAGUCUCUUUUACAGUACAACAGUCACUUUGUUCAAGGUGAAAUAAAUUCGUGCUUGAAAGACAAACAUCUGAAAACAAAGAGCUUGAACCAAAAGAAGGCAUAAUUCCCUGAAGGCCUGAGCCAUGCUCCCCCUGCUGAUUGAUACAAUUCACCUUUUCAACUAUUCUUGGAAGACCAAGAGGCUCCCAAGCAUGUGGGGGUGAUGGAGAGGGAAGGAGGGAGGGCUUAACUUUUGAUUUCUAUGUGGUUUUCCCACAUCUUUUUAUUACUUUAUGUAGUACUCACCUCCUGCAACCUCUCUUAUGUCCUCCCUCCUUAAAUUAGGAUGUAAAAGAAAGAAAUGUAUAUUUCUUAAGCACAACUAAUUGCAUUUUACUAGUUAACAAAACUAGUAAAAACUAAAAGUUGUUACAGACCGCAAUGUCAUUU